This is a long non-coding RNA of Solanum lycopersicum (tomato), 840 nucleotides long. RefSeq lists it as uncharacterized. The record is from RefSeq and is a predicted model, not a curated record. Lineage: Eukaryota; Viridiplantae; Streptophyta; Magnoliopsida; Solanales; Solanaceae.
CACAAUACAUGACUUCACCCAUAGGUUUGCCCGUAUUUUCCAAUCAACCCUUGUUUCAGCUCAUUUAAGAUCAAAAAGGUCUUUAAAGGCUUGUAAUGGGGAAAAGUGCAAGGCUAUGGUUAUUUAGGCUCAAUGGUUAUAGUCCUCAUGAAAUGUGGUGUGUCAUUCAUGCUCACAAGUCAUCCCAUUAUUCACUUUUCAUGGACUGGUGGAAAACCUGUGUCUUUUUGCAUUUUCACAACCUUACCCCGCAACUUUUUCUUUCUUUUUAUUUUUUAUUCUUUCCUUAUUUUUUAUGGAGGGGUUCCAUUUUUUUCAAAAAACCAUGGGUCAAAGAGGAAUUUCUUGCAUUUAUUGAUUUACCUAUCUCUUUUCACCAAACCCCCAACUUAGGCUUUUGGCCUAAGUUGACUAUUCAAACAAACCUAUUCUGUUAUCCUUCACUUGAAUCAUCCAAAUCCCUAAGUGGCACUCAUCAACAAAUUUUAUUAAAGUAUUUCUGCUUGAAGUGGUGUCUAAUAUUUCCUUUAUUUAUGCAAAAUAUGCCUGUUGUAAAAUGUAAGAGCUUUGAUCUUUGGUGCUAUUUGGGCACUUUUUGGGAAGCGUGUAUGGUUUUUUCCCAGCAUUCUGACCGAGAAAGCAGCACUGCAAGAUUUGUUCCAAGUUUGGCCUCAGAAGUAUGAAGACGAGCGGCCUAAGUGGACAUCAAGGCUUUUCUAUUCCAUAGUAGCUGUGGUUGUUAUUUUACUCCUGAGGCAUCAUGCUCCUUACGAGGCUGCAAGAGCCAGCAAACGUGCCAUCGACUUCGACUCGUUCGCAACUCUAGCCAUUCUUCAGCAU